AACCAUUCUCACCUGCGGCUAGACCUGCGGAAGGAUCAUUAACGCGCCGUGGAGGUUGCCUUUAAACAGGUCUGACCUUCCACCUGGCCACCCUUGUUUAUCUUUAACCUGUUGCUUUGGUGGGCCCGCUGCAAGGCCGCUGGAGAAUUUAAAAGUUUUCUGGCCCGUGCCCACCAAAGUCCUAGUGAACUCUUUGUUAAUUUUCUGCUGUCUGAGCAUUAAAAGAAACAAUUUUUAAAA
Molecule: unclassified non-coding RNA, 240 nt
Filed under: soil metagenome
Description: partial contains 5.8S ribosomal RNA, internal transcribed spacer 2, and large subunit ribosomal RNA
Source: RNAcentral